UAGGCUUUGAGGCGAGUUAGGUUUGCCAAACCAACGAGCCUACGGGCCCUCUGAGGGGGAAAGAAGAAAAAAACCUCCCUUUCUCUUUCUCUCUCUAGAAUCUUUAGAAUCUUUUCCUCAGCUUUCUCUCUCCACUGCAACGACAAUGGCGACAUCAUCGAGAACGAGAUCGAGCGGUCCAGUUCUUCCGGUCACAAGAGCUUUCCAAAGAUCGACAUCUCCCUCAGGUAGAUUUUGCUCUUCGCCAUCUGAUUCAUCGGCGGCGGCGGCGGCAGCAUCGGCUUUCGCUUCAUCGACCUCCAGUUUCUCUUCUGCAUCCACUGGAUUCUUCCACCGAUCCGCUUCUCCGACGCGCGUAAAUCUCUAUGGGUCCACACCGCUGGCUUCAUCCGUACGAUUCUCUAUCGACCGAUCCAUCUCUCCUAGCCGUUCGAUUGCGGUUCCCCGGCGCGAUCAGAUCGUCCGUAAGUCCACUCCUAAGAAGAGGUGUAUGUGCUCUCCGACGACGCAUCCCGGCUCCUUCCGAUGCAGUCUGCACAAGAACUUCAACAAUAGUUCUCACACGAUCUCAUAUUCGUCGAAUCGGUUGAACGCUCGGAGAUCUGCCAUGACGAACUCACUGGUUCGUAUCGGCACCGUCGAAGGAGAUCUGGUUAAGCGAGCAUUAGCCGCACUGAUUCGUCCUUCUUCGCACCAACAGAGGCGAAGAGCUGCCUUUCAACCUCGGCCUAGUCGCCUCUCGAUUAUGUCCAAAGCCGAGGAUCUGUAAACGGUGAUCAGCGUUGGGAUAUGCGUUAUGUUUGCCGUUAACCAGCCCGUCCGUUUCGUUCCCGUUCACCGUAUAUGCGUGACGUAUUUGUAUUCGCCUUAUACGUAUACCGGUUUGCGUUGCUUUUGGUGUAAGGUAUGACGUGUUUUCCUUCAACAUCCAAAAACUUUUUACCUGGGCGAGGUAUGGAAAAUGGAAGAAACCUUUAGUGGACCCCGGGACGUAUAUGAAGGACAAGGACACUUACAAUUAAAUAUGAAAUUAAUGAUUCAAGAAAUUAUAAAAAUUUAAAUUAUGAAAUUAAUGAUUCCAGAAAUUAUAAAAAUUUAAAUCAUGGAAAAAUAUCAUUAAUUUUAUUUAAAAAUUGUUAAAAUCAUGUUGAACGGAGGUUGUGAAAAAUCAUCUCCUUGACGUAUAUGAAGGACAAGGACACUUAGUAAUUAAAUAUGAAAUUAGAAAUUGUUAAAAUCAUGUUGAAUGGAGGUUAUGAAGAAUCAUCUCUUUGACUUCAAGGGGAAUUAAUUAAAUUA
Molecule: RNA transcript, 1299 nt
Organism: Vitis vinifera (wine grape)
Lineage: Eukaryota; Viridiplantae; Streptophyta; Magnoliopsida; Vitales; Vitaceae
Exons: 3
Source: RefSeq, a predicted model, not a curated record